GAUGAAGAACGUAGCGAAAUGCGAUAAGUAAUGUGAAUUGCAGAAUCCAGUGAAUCAUCGAAUCUUUGAACGCACAUUGCGCCCGCUGGUACUCCGGCGGGCACGCCUGUCCGAGCGUCAUUUCAACCCUCAAGCCCUCCUUCGGGAUGGGCCUGGUGUUGGGGCUCGGCCGCCAUCUCCGGCGGCCGUCCCCUAAAUACAGUGGCAGUCACGUCGCGACUCCUUUGCGUAGUAGAAACACCUCGCUCCGGAUAGCAACGCGGUCCACGCCGUAAAACCCCCAAUUUUCAAUGGUUGACCUCGGAUCAGGUGGGAAUACCCGCUGAACUUAAGCAUAUCAAUAAGCGGAGGA
This 352-nucleotide unclassified non-coding RNA is filed under the name soil metagenome. Its description in RNAcentral is "partial contains 5.8S ribosomal RNA, internal transcribed spacer 2, and large subunit ribosomal RNA". The stretch from base 1 to 120 matches the Rfam family "5.8S ribosomal RNA", at positions 35 to 154 of the family's 154-position model. The record is from RNAcentral.